AAGGAGUCUAACAUCUAUGCGAGUGUUUGGGUGUCAAGCCCGGGCGCGUAAUGAGAGUGAACGGAGGUGGGAGCCCCUCGGGGUGCACCAUCGACCGAUCCUGAUGUCUUCGGAUGGAUUUGAGUAAGAGCAUAGCUGUUGGGACCCGAAAGAUGGUGAACUAUGCUUGAAUAGGGUGAAGCCAGAGGAAACUCUGGUGGAGGCUCGCAGCGGUUCUGACGUGCAAAUCGAUCGUCAAAUUUGGGCAUAGGGGCGAAAGACUAAUCGAACCAUCUAGUAGCUGGUUCCUGC
Molecule: unclassified non-coding RNA, 291 nt
Filed under: uncultured fungus
Lineage: Eukaryota; Fungi
Description: partial contains 5.8S rRNA, ITS2 and 28S rRNA
Rfam family: Eukaryotic large subunit ribosomal RNA
Source: RNAcentral